CAUGCAAGUCGGGCGAGUCGGGGGGCAACCCCUAGGCGAGCGGCGAACGGGUGAGUAUCGCGUGAAUAACCUGCCCUACAGUAAGGAACAACCGGCCCAACGGCCGGCUAAUGCCGUAUAUAGCGGGGCUUCGCAUGGAGCCUUGGCGAAAGAUUUAUCGCUGUGGGAUGGAUUCGCGUCCGAUUAGGCAGUUGGCGGGGUAACGGCCCACCAAACCAUCGAUCGGUAGCCGGCCUGAGAGGGCGAUCGGCCACAUUGGGACUGAGAUACGGCCCAGACUCCUACGGGAGGCAGCAGCAGGGAAUAUUGCGCAAUGGGGGCAACCCUGACGCAGCGACGCCACGUGUGGGAAGGAGCGCUUAGGCGUGUAAACCACUGUCGCGAGGGAACAGCGGCCGCUUUCGGGCGGUUUGAGUGUACCUUGAGAGGAAGCGCCGGCAAACUUCGUGCCAGCAGCCGCGGUAAUACGAGGGGCGCGAGCGUUGUUCGGAAUCACUGGGCGUAAAGGGAGCGCAGGCUGCCCUUCAAGCCGGGCGUGCAAGCCCGCGGCCUAACCGCGGAAUUGCGCCCGGGACUGUGGGGCUUGGAUUUUUCAGAGGCUGGCGGAAUUCCCGGUGGAGCGGUGGAAUGCGUAGAUAUCGGGAAGAACACCGGAGGCGAAGGCGGCCAGCUGGGAAAACAUCGACGCUGCAGCUCGAAAGCGCGGGUAGCAAACAGGAUUAGAUACCCUGGUAGUCCGCGCCGUAAACGAUGCAUGCUUGGCGCCCGGGGGCAUUAUACCCCUGGGUGCCGCAGCUAACGCGCUAAGCAUGCCGCCUGGGGAGUACGCCCGCAAGGGUGAAACUCAAAGGAAUUGACGGGGGCCCGCACAAGCGGUGGAGCAUGUGGUUUAAUUCGACGCAACGCGCAGAACCUUACCAGGGUUUGACAUGGGGAAGAAGUGCCCAGAGAUGGGCAUGCCCAGCAAUGGGCUUCCCGCACAGGUGCUGCAUGGCUGUCGUCAGCUCGUGUCGUGAGAUGUUGGGUUAAGUCCCGCAACGAGCGCAACCCGUGCCCUUGGUUGCUAAUAUAGCUCUCCAGGGGGACUGCCGG
RNAcentral lists this ribosomal RNA (1092 nucleotides) under uncultured Fibrobacterota bacterium. RNAcentral's name for it is "bacterial SSU rRNA". It matches the Rfam family "Bacterial small subunit ribosomal RNA", at positions 54 to 1155 of the family's 1533-position model. Lineage: Bacteria; Pseudomonadati; Fibrobacterota. The record is from RNAcentral.